GUAAAUAUAGUAUAACCAAAACAUUAGAUUGUGGAUCUAAUAACAGAAGUCUGAAACUUCUUAUCUACU
This 69-nucleotide transfer RNA is filed under the name Homo sapiens (human). It matches the Rfam family "tRNA". Rfam says of the family: Transfer RNA (tRNA) molecules are approximately 80 nucleotides in length. Their secondary structure includes four short double-helical elements and three loops (D, anti-codon, and T loops). Further hydrogen bonds mediate the characteristic L-shaped molecular structure. tRNAs have two regions of fundamental functional importance: the anti-codon, which is responsible for specific mRNA codon recognition, and the 3' end, to which the tRNAs corresponding amino acid is attached (by aminoacyl-tRNA synthetases). tRNAs cope with the degeneracy of the genetic code in two manners: having more than one tRNA (with a specific anti-codon) for a particular amino acid; and 'wobble' base-pairing, i.e. permitting non-standard base-pairing at the 3rd anti-codon position. The record is from Rfam by way of RNAcentral. Lineage: Eukaryota; Metazoa; Chordata; Mammalia; Primates; Hominidae.